ACAGCAGCCGCCGCGGGAAUACGUAGGUGGCAAGCGUUGUCCGGAAUUAUUGGGCGUAAAGGGCUCGCAGGCGGUUUCUUAAGUCUGAUGUGAAAGCCCCCGGCUCAACCGGGGAGGGUCAUUGGAAACUGGGAAACUUGAGUGCAGAAGAGGAGAGUGGAAUUCCACGUGUAGCGGUGAAAUGCGUAGAGAUGUGGAGGAACACAGUGGCGAAGGCGACUCUCUGGUCUGUAACUGACGCUGAGGAGCGAAAGCGUGGGGAGCGAACAGGAUUAGAUACCCCCGUAGUCCCUGUCUCUUAUACC
Molecule: ribosomal RNA, 305 nt
Filed under: uncultured bacterium
Lineage: Bacteria
Description: partial 16S ribosomal RNA
Rfam family: Bacterial small subunit ribosomal RNA
Source: RNAcentral